UUUUCAUUCUGCAGAUACUAUAGGCUUAUUGAACAAUCCCUCGACCCUUCUGUAGUGAGUCUGCUUUGUGCAGAAUGGCUGCAGGGAAACUAUUCAGAUAUCCCAGUAGAACACUACACCAAGUGGAACAAAUUCCUUUGGGAU
Molecule: long non-coding RNA, 144 nt
Organism: Pelodiscus sinensis (Chinese soft-shelled turtle)
Lineage: Eukaryota; Metazoa; Chordata; Testudines; Trionychidae
Rfam family: Rhabdomyosarcoma 2 associated transcript conserved region 2
Source: Rfam